This 1453-nucleotide ribosomal RNA is filed under the name Lactiplantibacillus plantarum. RNAcentral's name for it is "bacterial SSU rRNA". It matches the Rfam family "Bacterial small subunit ribosomal RNA". Lineage: Bacteria; Bacillati; Bacillota; Bacilli; Lactobacillales; Lactobacillaceae. The record is from RNAcentral.
GUGCCUAUACAUGCAAGUCGAACGAACUCUGGUAUUGAUUGGUGCUUGCAUCAUGAUUUACAUUUGAGUGAGUGGCGAACUGGUGAGUAACACGUGGGAAACCUGCCCAGAAGCGGGGGAUAACACCUGGAAACAGAUGCUAAUACCGCAUAACAACUUGGACCGCAUGGUCCGAGUUUGAAAGAUGGCUUCGGCUAUCACUUUUGGAUGGUCCCGCGGCGUAUUAGCUAGAUGGUGGGGUAACGGCUCACCAUGGCAAUGAUACGUAGCCGACCUGAGAGGGUAAUCGGCCACAUUGGGACUGAGACACGGCCCAAACUCCUACGGGAGGCAGCAGUAGGGAAUCUUCCACAAUGGACGAAAGUCUGAUGGAGCAACGCCGCGUGAGUGAAGAAGGGUUUCGGCUCGUAAAACUCUGUUGUUAAAGAAGAACAUAUCUGAGAGUAACUGUUCAGGUAUUGACGGUAUUUAACCAGAAAGCCACGGCUAACUACGUGCCAGCAGCCGCGGUAAUACGUAGGUGGCAAGCGUUGUCCGGAUUUAUUGGGCGUAAAGCGAGCGCAGGCGGUUUUUUAAGUCUGAUGUGAAAGCCUUCGGCUCAACCGAAGAAGUGCAUCGGAAACUGGGAAACUUGAGUGCAGAAGAGGACAGUGGAACUCCAUGUGUAGCGGUGAAAUGCGUAGAUAUAUGGAAGAACACCAGUGGCGAAGGCGGCUGUCUGGUCUGUAACUGACGCUGAGGCUCGAAAGUAUGGGUAGCAAACAGGAUUAGAUACCCUGGUAGUCCAUACCGUAAACGAUGAAUGCUAAGUGUUGGAGGGUUUCCGCCCUUCAGUGCUGCAGCUAACGCAUUAAGCAUUCCGCCUGGGGAGUACGGCCGCAAGGCUGAAACUCAAAGGAAUUGACGGGGGCCCGCACAAGCGGUGGAGCAUGUGGUUUAAUUCGAAGCUACGCGAAGAACCUUACCAGGUCUUGACAUACUAUGCAAAUCUAAGAGAUUAGACGUUCCCUUCGGGGACAUGGAUACAGGUGGUGCAUGGUUGUCGUCAGCUCGUGUCGUGAGAUGUUGGGUUAAGUCCCGCAACGAGCGCAACCCUUAUUAUCAGUUGCCAGCAUUAAGUUGGGCACUCUGGUGAGACUGCCGGUGACAAACCGGAGGAAGGUGGGGAUGACGUCAAAUCAUCAUGCCCCUUAUGACCUGGGCUACACACGUGCUACAAUGGAUGGUACAACGAGUUGCGAACUCGCGAGAGUAAGCUAAUCUCUUAAAGCCAUUCUCAGUUCGGAUUGUAGGCUGCAACUCGCCUACAUGAAGUCGGAAUCGCUAGUAAUCGCGGAUCAGCAUGCCGCGGUGAAUACGUUCCCGGGCCUUGUACACACCGCCCGUCACACCAUGAGAGUUUGUAACACCCAAAGUCGGUGGGGUAACCUUUUAGGAACCAGCCGCCUAAGGU